CUCAAUGGUGGCUCAGGCGGGGCUGACUUAGGUCAGGCCGGUAUCCAGUAGAACCGGUGUUGAGAACCCCGUCAGGGCUACCACCAGC
Molecule: non-coding RNA, 88 nt
Filed under: Rahnella inusitata
Lineage: Bacteria; Pseudomonadati; Pseudomonadota; Gammaproteobacteria; Enterobacterales; Yersiniaceae
Source: RNAcentral